CUCAGGGCACAAAAUAAAAAGAGUUAGAAAAUGUCCUUGAUCAUUGGCGAAGAAAAGUAGAAGCAUGGUGAAAGGCGGCGAAAAGUAGGGUUUGCGGUCUUCAGCAGAGUAGAAAUGUCAGCGCUGAUCUUUUCAGAGCUGGCAUUCUUCAGCGCUGGCAGCAUAGUCAGAGUGGAAUUGCAGCGCUUGAAACAAAAACAUUAACACCCAGAAUCAAAGCAUCCGCACAAGCAACCAAAGACAAGGAAAAUACAAAAAACGAAAGCAAAAACAAGAAAAAGAAAAACAAACCAACAGUGGGUUGCCUCCCACCAAGUGCUAGUUUUAAAGUCGCCAACCCGACGUAGAGGAACCCUUAACCAAAAUCACUAUGAAACAUCAGCUAAAUUAGUCCUUGUGAUAACACGUCAUCCUCCAUUUCAGCUGCGGGUCCUCUUAAUGAGCAAGCAGUGCUCAUCACAUUCAUCACUCUCUCGAACCAAGAACUAGGUCGAGAGCUCUCCUCUUUCUUCUCC
This 515-nucleotide long non-coding RNA is filed under the name Salvia miltiorrhiza (redroot sage). Its description in RNAcentral is "long non-coding RNA (SMIL_LNC009002)". The record is from RNAcentral. Lineage: Eukaryota; Viridiplantae; Streptophyta; Magnoliopsida; Lamiales; Lamiaceae.